CAAGACACAGUUAAGUGGGAAACGAAGUGGGAAGGCAUAGACAGCUAGGAAGUUGGCUUAGAAAGCAGCCAUCCUUUAAAGAAAGCGUAAUAGCUCACUAGUCGAGUCGUCCUGCGCGGAAGAUGUAACGGGGCUCAAAACUGUGCACCGAAGCUGCGGAUAUCGAAAAGAUAUGGUAGGGGAGCGUUCUGUAGGUCUGUAGAAGGUGUCUUGUAAAGGAUGCUGGAGAUAUCAGAAGUGCGAAUGCUGACAUGAGUAGCGAUAAAGGGAGUGAAAAGCUCCCUCGCCGAAAAGCCCAAGGUUUCCUACGCAACGUUCAUCGGCGUAGGGUGAGUCGGCCCUUAAGGCGAGGCUGAAAAGCGUAGUCGAUGGGAAACAGGUCAAUAUUCCUGUACCGAUUCUAGAUGCGAUGUGGGGACGGAGAAGGCUAGGUCAGCCAACUGUUGGAAUAGUUGGUUUAAGCGUGUAGGCGUG
This 474-nucleotide ribosomal RNA is filed under the name uncultured bacterium. Its description in RNAcentral is "bacterial LSU rRNA". It matches the Rfam family "Bacterial large subunit ribosomal RNA", at positions 1049 to 1528 of the family's 2925-position model. The record is from RNAcentral.